Small nuclear RNA from Vitis vinifera (wine grape), 196 nucleotides. It matches the Rfam family "U2 spliceosomal RNA". Rfam says of the family: U2 is a small nuclear RNA (snRNA) component of the spliceosome (involved in pre-mRNA splicing). Complementary binding between U2 snRNA (in an area lying towards the 5' end but 3' to hairpin I) and the branchpoint sequence (BPS) of the intron results the bulging out of an unpaired adenosine, on the BPS, which initiates a nucleophilic attack at the intronic 5' splice site, thus starting the first of two transesterification reactions that mediate splicing. The record is from Rfam. Lineage: Eukaryota; Viridiplantae; Streptophyta; Magnoliopsida; Vitales; Vitaceae.
AUACCUUUCUCGGCCUUUUGGCUAAGAUCAAGUGUAGUAUCUGUUCUUAUCAGUUUAAUAUCUGAUACGUGGGACAUCGUCCCACAUGAUAUUAAAUUUAUUUUUUUAGGGGGAGGUCUCACCACAAUAGCUUGCUAUUGGAGUCCUCGCGCGUCGCCCUGGCGUUGCACUACUGCCUGGGCCUGGCGUACCCCUC